Molecule: ribosomal RNA, 254 nt
Filed under: uncultured bacterium
Lineage: Bacteria
Description: partial 16S ribosomal RNA
Rfam family: Bacterial small subunit ribosomal RNA
Source: RNAcentral
UACGUAGGGUCCAAACGUUGUUCGGAAUUAUUGGGCGUAAAGGGUACGCAGGCUGUUUUUUAAGUCAGUGGUGAAAACCCGGGGCUCAACCCCGGGGCUGCCGUUGAUACUGGAAGACUAGAGUUGUUAUAGGGGUGGCAGGAAUUACUAGUGUAGGAGUGAAAUCUGUAGAUAUUAGUAGGAACACCAAUAGCGUAGGCAAGCCACUGGGUUACAACUGACGCUCAGGUACGAGAGCUAGGGGAGCAAAUGGG